UGUCCCCUGCUGUUCACGACCGCGCAUUCUUACAUAUGCCUUGGUCCUAUUUAACGACCCGGGUUAGCAGCGUCGAAAGCUGUGUGCAUGUCCGCCUCGUGCGGAAAGCCUAAGGCCUCGCCAGCUAUCCCACCUGAUCCUCUGGAUCAAGGUCGUUCGAUGCGCAUCGUCAUGGUGGAGGGCGC
This 185-nucleotide non-coding RNA is filed under the name Pseudolysobacter antarcticus. RNAcentral describes it as "6S / SsrS RNA". It matches the Rfam family "6S / SsrS RNA". From Rfam's summary of the family: E. coli 6S RNA was the first non coding RNA to be sequenced, but its function was unknown until recently. It consists of 184 nucleotides that fold into an extended hairpin structure with a large single-stranded internal bulge. The 6S RNA specifically associates with RNA polymerase holoenzyme containing the sigma70 specificity factor. Lineage: Bacteria; Pseudomonadati; Pseudomonadota; Gammaproteobacteria; Lysobacterales; Rhodanobacteraceae. The record is from Rfam by way of RNAcentral.